RNAcentral lists this long non-coding RNA (864 nucleotides) under Salmo salar (Atlantic salmon). Its description in RNAcentral is "lncRNA (ENSSSAG00000082618.1)". Lineage: Eukaryota; Metazoa; Chordata; Actinopteri; Salmoniformes; Salmonidae. The record is from RNAcentral.
AUCAGAACAAUGUAAGAUAAAAUUAACAGAAUCCCAAGACUGUACAGUAUACGGUAUGUUUACUUGAGGCAGACAGAAUCAUUAUGGACCUUUUUUUCUCUCUUAAGACUGACAGUCCACAAAUUAAAAAGCUCAAUUCUACAUGAUGGUAAUGGCAGAAGAAUGCUUCAGAAUGCAUGCAGCCAUAGUUAGAUCAGGUUGAAUGCUUCCCCUUCUAGUCACACACACACACACACACAAUGAGCAUGGCUACAACACAGGAAGCUGACUAUAUAAUGGUGCCGGAGGGGAUGGCUGCCGUUUUAUGGCUGAAAUUUAUGGGCUCAAACUCAUUUUGUACAUAAUGUUGCUACUAACGUCUUUAACGAAAAUAGCUUCUGGACAUCAGAACAGCACAACUCACCUCGAACUGGACAAAGAUUUCUUCUUUAAUGAGUCCAACGCAAAGGAUAUACUGCUUCCCAGAGACCAGGCACAAAUCCCUGUCAUUCGUGUGAAGAAAAGAUGGAAAUACAGUGGGCGGAGGUCUGGGCGCAUUGUGAGAAUUCGUCGCCAAGACCAUGACCCAACACACCUCCAGGCUGUGUAAGGGCUAUUUUACCAAGAAGGAGUGUGAUGCAGUGCUGCAUUCGAUUACCUGGUUUGGGAUGAAUUGGACAGCAGAGUGAAGGAAAAGCAGCCAACAAGUGCUCAGCAUACAUGGGAACUCUUUCAAGACUGUUGGGAAAGCAUUCCAGGUGAAGCUGGUUGAGAGAAUACCAAGAGUGUGCAGAGCUGUGUGCAGAGCCGUUUGUCAAAUGCUAGCAUGGCACGCUAAAACCAGAUGACUGCUACAGAACCAAAAACAUAGGAGAGCAAGAGGGC